CCGCCGCGGUAACACCGGCAGCUCUAGUGGUAGCUAAUUUUAUUGGGCCUAAAGCGUCCGUAGCCGGUUUAAUAAGUCUCUGGUGAAAUCCUGCAGCUUAACUGUGGGAAUUGCUGGAGAUACUAUAGACUUGAGACCGGGAGAGGUUAGAGGUACUCCCAGGGUAGAGGUGAAAUUCUGUAAUCCUGGGAGGACCGCCUGUUGCGAAGGCGUCUAACUGGAACGGUUCUGACGGUGAGGGACGAAAGUUAGGGGCGCGAACCGGAUUAGAUACCCGGGUAGUCCUAACUGUAAACGAUGCGGACUUGGUGGUUGGGGUGGCUUUGAGCUGCUUCAGUGCCGAAGGGAAGCUGUUAAGUCCGCCGCCGUGGGAAGUACGGUCGCAAGACUGAAACUUAAAGGAUUGGCGGGGAGCACCACAACGCGUGGAGCCUGCGGUUUUAAAUUGGAUUCAACGCCGGACAUCUCACCAGAGGCGACAGCUGUAUGAUAGCCAGGUUGAUGACUUUGCUUGACUAGCUGAGAGGAGAGGUGCAUGG
Molecule: ribosomal RNA, 539 nt
Filed under: uncultured archaeon
Lineage: Archaea
Description: bacterial SSU rRNA
Rfam family: Archaeal small subunit ribosomal RNA
Source: RNAcentral